Molecule: long non-coding RNA, 3230 nt
Filed under: Musa acuminata (dwarf banana)
Lineage: Eukaryota; Viridiplantae; Streptophyta; Magnoliopsida; Zingiberales; Musaceae
Description: long non-coding RNA (MACU_LNC003084)
Source: RNAcentral
UUCGCCUCGCGGAGGAUCUGUACAAAAUAUCUUGCAGCCGAUCCCAUCGUAUAAUGGCGCAACGGAGCGGAACACAAGUCCACCGAUGCGAUACGAGCAAAGGACAUACGAGGACGGAAAACGGUGGUGACCGGUCGGUCCUGGUGACGCCAGCAUCGAUUCCGGCCAAUAAUCCCGUCCAGGUUCACUCCCUCUUUCCUCGGCGUUCUCGCCUCCGCCACCGGCCGCUGCUCGUCUCUCCUCCCCCUUUCUAUUGUUCCGUCUCGUCUCCUCGUUGCCUUUUCUUCCGGUUAGGGUUUCUUCUACUUGCGCCCUCUCUCUCAUUCUCUCUGUCCGCCGUCGAUGGGAGCUCGCCGCUAUUGUCGUCUCAGGUCCUGUCGUUGUUCGUUGCUGAUGCUCCUGUUACUUCGAUCUUUAUAUCAGAGUUCUUGUUCUUGCUUCUAAUCUUUGAUGCGAGAGCUUCGCCAUGGACAACCUCUCGCUGGGAUCGAUGACGCUCCCUUGCCUCCACCACUUCCCCACGCCCGUAUCGCUGGCGACCCGAUCCCCGUUGAGCUCGAUUCCGUUCUCCGCGACCCUUCACGCAUCCUUCCGUCCCUCCGCCUAUUUUUCUGCAUCUCCUCGACCAGCAGCUGGAAUUCACCCGCGACGGCUUCGCGAGGACGAAUUUUUUGGGGACUCGAAUCGUCCUCAUGGUGAUCCCCUGAACCUGACGGCCAAGGUUUUGUGGGGAUUAUGUUUGACUUAGGCUUAUUGCGGAUUAAGUGUGGGGCUAUCUUGACGUGUGACAUCGCUCACAUUGGUCGUAUUGUGGCUGCCAAGGUUCAAAUCCUCUCUUUUAUUCAGCAAUGCUUUUGCUUCAUUUUGUUCUUUGAGUGAUUUAUACUGUUCCUUUCAAUUUUGAUUUAGUGAGAAUAUGAACUACCCAUGAUUAAAAUUAUAACUGAUACGGGCUAGUGAGAAAAUUGCUGACCUCGGUAAGAAGACUGAGAGACUCUCACACACAACAGUCAUCUUGAAAGAUAAUGCUGUUGUCCGAUCCCUUUCUUUGGUAAAGUUGCCUAUUGCCUCUUUUGACUCCGAAUUGAAGUUAAAUUUAGAUCAUGUAUAAAGCAUAUACUUAAACUAGUGUUUCCUUAAUAUCCCAAGAGAUUAUAGCCUGAUGUAAGAGAGUUGCCUUUCGUUUUUAGGUUUGGUGUAAGGGUGUCUUCACUUGGAAUUGUAUGUUUCAUUUUGAAUUGCUUGGCUAAAUUCUACUUCUGGAACUGUAAAACUGUCUGGCCAUGGGUUUUUUUUUUUCUGGUUUUGUACAUUGAUUUAUAUCAAUUUUUAUGCCCAUUAGUUGUUGUUGUGCUUCAUGGCUUCUAUUUAAUCUUUUUCUUUAAAUCUAUAUCAUAUCUACCUUCUGCAUCACUUAAUUCCAAAAUUAUGAUUAUAGCAUUGGAGUUCAGUGGAUGUUCCCAAACUAUAGACAAAGGGAUUGGAAACUUGUGGGAUUGGACAUAAACUUUUUUUUUUCUUUGCAAAAAAAAGGGGUAUUGGAAACUUUUGGGACUUGACUUUUUCCUUUGGUAAGUGCUGAUGUUGGGCCAGUGGUGGGUAUUGAAUUCUUUAAUGGAAGUUAAACAUCAUGACUGGGAGGUUCCGUUUCUUCGUUGGAUUAUCUCAUUACUAACUGAUUACCUUUAUUGUCUCUAAAAGGAAGACAGAAAUUUUAUUUUUAUAUUUCAGUAUUGAAAGUUGAACCCCAGUCUACCUGGGCUGCUGGUUUGCAAAUAUGAAUCAUGAUGUUAUUUUUAUAUUGGAAAUACAUUGGUGAUAAUAAAUCUCCAAAAUGAGCUGCUUAUUGCUAAUAUCAUUUAUUGUAAACUGUUCAAAUUUAUCCUUUUGAAUUGCAUAUCAUGGACUUCUUUAAACAUUAUUAAGGAUUUUUAGUUUAGAUUCACUGGAGCAUGUGUCAACGGUGGACAGAUACUUGUCCCCUAGUUUUGAAAUGAUGUGUUGUUAGGGAAAUACUUGGUAAAUGUUUGAGAGGCUGAUAGAUAUGAUGAUAAUACGUUUGUACACUGAAAAAGAAAUUUUCAUCAAGGAAAACAUGAUAAGAGAGAUCACAUCUGAAGACAUUAAUAUUUUCGGACAUUGGAGAGAAAUUGGAAUGAAGAUUUUGGAGGUCCAAAGCUCUAUGGUUAGAUGAGAGCAAUUUAAAUCCAUGCUUGUUACUGACUUUAAAAAAAUGCUCUUAUAUGUGCAUACUUUAACAUGCAUUUCAUAGAAAAUAACUACUAUUUUCAUAAUAAUUUAAUAUUAGAUGAAAUUGGUACACAAAAAAAAAUGGUGAAAUGGUUCUCACGUCUUCCAAUCCUCUCUCGGGAAUUAGGAUCUUUUCCCCCUCAAAGUAGGAUCCUUCAUCUUUUUGGCAAUGGUAGAUCUUUGAGAUUAGAAAACUCAAAAUCCUACUUUACUUUAUCCUGUCAAUUGAAUCAAAUGAACCUUGACCGUCAUGAAAAACAGUAGUCCAGACUCCAAAAAGUUAAGGAAAUCCUGUUUGUUCCCUCUUGCUUAGUCACCAAGGUUUUAGGACUGACUGACUUAAAACAGAUUAUGAAUCUUCAAGAUUGAGUUUGUAGAAAAUGUAUUUGAACCAGGAUUAGAUGCUCUUUUCAUUUGGAAAAUAUGGCUGGGGUUCAAUCAUAGAGUUUUUACUGGACAAUAAUUGUUUUUUCCCUUGUUCAGUGUGCAAAGUUUAAAACUGUAACACAUGGUGCACAUCACCAAAUGGUUUUUUCUGUAGCCAACUUGUCCUACCAUCAGUUAUAGCGAAAAAAAGAAAAAUCAUUUUUUUUUCCUUCUGCAGUCUCUUGUUUCUAAUCCACUUCUUUUUUUUUCUCUCAUCUUGCCCAAGAUAUUUUCUAGAACGAGAUAUACACAUCAUGCAUAAUUUUUAUUUUUCUGUAUUACGAAGAUCUUGUUGCAUUAUUAGUCAUACCAGAAUCUGCACUUUCUUCUAUUAUCUCUUCUGUCUUGUUCAUUCAAUUUUUUCAAUGUAAAUAUUCGAGAUAUUUAAGAUAGCGACUAAUGAUCUUGUCUCUUUUUCUUUUCCUUUUCAGAUAAGGGAAUAUCACAUUGAAGUCUAAUUAACCAUCGCACAGAUUGUUGAGGAAAGCACAGAGUACCGAUGAGGAAGCAGAAAAACCCUCUCUCUCUCUCUCUCUCUCUCUCUCUCUCUCUUA